GACGAACGCUGGCGGCGUGCCUAAUACAUGCAAGUUGAGCGCUGAAGGUUGGUACUUGUACCAACUGGAUGAGCAGCGAACGGGUGAGUAACGCGUGGGGAAUCUGCCUUUGAGCGGGGGACAACAUUUGGAAACGAAUGCUAAUACCGCAUAAAAACUUUAAACACAAGUUUUAAGUUUGAAAGAUGCAAUUGCAUCACUCAAAGAUGAUCCCGCGUUGUAUUAGCUAGUUGGUGAGGUAAAGGCUCACCAAGGCGAUGAUACAUAGCCGACCUGAGAGGGGGAUCCGCCACAUUGGGACUGAGACACGGCCCAAACUCCUACGGGAGGCAGCAGUAGGGAAUUUUCGGCAAUGGACGAAAGUCUGACCGAGCAACGCCGCGUGAGUGAAGAAGGUUUUCGGAUCGGAAAACUCUGUUGGUAGAGAAGAACGUUGGUGAGAGUGGAAAGCUCAUCAAGUGACGGUAACUACCCAGAAAGGGACGGCUAACUACGUG
Molecule: ribosomal RNA, 497 nt
Filed under: uncultured bacterium
Lineage: Bacteria
Description: partial 16S ribosomal RNA
Rfam family: Bacterial small subunit ribosomal RNA
Source: RNAcentral